AGCGAACGCUGGCGGCAGGCUUAACACAUGCAAGUCGAGCGGGCCCUUCGGGGUCAGCGGCGGACGGGUGAGUAACGCGUGGGAACGUGCCUUCUGGUUCGGAAUAACCCUGGGAAACUAGGGCUAAUACCGGAUACGCCCUUUUGGGGAAAGGUUUACUGCCGGAAGAUCGGCCCGCGUCUGAUUAGCUAGUUGGUGGGGUAACGGCCUACCAAGGCGACGAUCAGUAGCUGGUCUGAGAGGAUGAUCAGCCACACUGGGACUGAGACACGGCCCAGACUCCUACGGGAGGCAGCAGUGGGGAAUAUUGGACAAUGGGCGCAAGCCUGAUCCAGCCAUGCCGCGUGAGUGAUGAAGGCCUUAGGGUUGUAAAGCUCUUUUAUCCGGGACGAUAAUGACGGUACCGGAGGAAUAAGCCCCGGCUAACUUCGUGCCAGCAGCCGCGGUAAUACGAAGGGGGCUAGCGUUGCUCGGAAUCACUGGGCGUAAAGGGCGCGUAGGCGGCGUUUUAAGUCGGGGGUGAAAGCCUGUGGCUCAACCACAGAAUGGCCUUCGAUACUGGGACGCUUGAGUAUGGUAGAGGUUGGUGGAACUGCGAGUGUAGAGGUGAAAUUCGUAGAUAUUCGCAGGAACACCGGUGGCGAAGGCGGCCAACUGGACCAUUACUGACGCUGAGGCGCGAAAGC
This 686-nucleotide ribosomal RNA is filed under the name uncultured Alphaproteobacteria bacterium. Its description in RNAcentral is "bacterial SSU rRNA". It matches the Rfam family "Bacterial small subunit ribosomal RNA", at positions 28 to 760 of the family's 1533-position model. The record is from RNAcentral. Lineage: Bacteria; Pseudomonadati; Pseudomonadota; Alphaproteobacteria.